RNAcentral lists this ribosomal RNA (253 nucleotides) under uncultured bacterium. Its description in RNAcentral is "partial 16S ribosomal RNA". It matches the Rfam family "Bacterial small subunit ribosomal RNA", at positions 524 to 776 of the family's 1533-position model. The record is from RNAcentral.
CACGUAGGGCGCAAGCGUUGUCCGGAAUUAUUGGGCGUAAAGAGCUCGUAGGCGGUCUGUUGCGUCCGCUGUGAAAACUCGGGGCUUAACCCCGAGCCUGCAGUGGAUACGGGCAGACUAGAGGUAGGUAGGGGAGAAUGGAAUUCCCGGUGUAGCGGUGGAAUGCGCAGAUAUCAGGAGGAACACCGGUGGCGAAGGCGGAUCUCUGGGCCAUUACUGACGCUGAGGAGCGAAAGCGUGGGGAGCGAACAGG